GCCGAAAAGACACCACACAUGGGUGGACACUGACGACACGACCCUAGACACCUCGAUACACACACACACGAUCACCACGCAAAAACUGCCUACACCACGGCCUAAAUCUAUACCAAACGAAAGCUGAGUCAAGUCAGGCAAAGAAACACCAGUCCCCCUCAAAGCUACCUUGAAAAGAUCGAACUUCAGCAACAGCAGCAAGAAUAACAACACAGAGCGGAUCAGUACGCUCACACUAGGCAGACCACAACACGGGAACACCAACUCACGGGAGUAGACAACGACAGGGGAAUACACAUUAGCAGCACAUAGACAGGCCAAGUUAGGAGGGCAAUUCAAUUGUUAAUAUGAAUCAAUGCAAUACAUAUUCAUGAUAUACUUGAACACUGAGUUUGCUUUGAGACCUGCAUGUCUCUCCCUCAAUUGUUACUCAGGAGAUCUGCGAAUAUCGACUGACUAAUUGUAAUACUGUUUACCUGAAACCUGCGCGUUUCUCCUCAUUUCAUCCUUUCUUUCAAAAAAUUUGAAAAAAAUCUCAAUAAAAAGAUAUUUGCAAAAACAAGGAUCAAAAGAGUCUGCUUUGUGUCUUGUAUGUGGGAAGCAAGGGUGAUA
Pelobates cultripes (western spadefoot toad) is the source of this 612-nucleotide non-coding RNA. The record is from the annotation of a GenBank genome assembly. NCBI's taxonomy places the organism in Eukaryota, Metazoa, Chordata, Amphibia, Anura, Pelobatidae.